AAGUCGUAACAAGGUUUCCGUAGGUGAACCUGCGGAAGGAUCAUUAACAAAUCAUUUGGGUUGAUAGGAGCAAUCCUAUCGGCCACAUUAACCCGAACCUGUGCAGUUCUCUGCCAGGCUAGGUGUGUAUCUAGUAGCCUCUCUCGAGGUUAUUAGGUGCGCGGUGAUAGACGCAAGUCUUGAUCCACAUAGACGCUUUUUAUGUUUGACAGUGAUAAGUUGACACAAUCAAAAUGACAACUUUUAACAAUGGAUCUCUUGGCUCUU
This 267-nucleotide unclassified non-coding RNA is filed under the name fungal sp. Its description in RNAcentral is "partial internal transcribed spacer region". The stretch from base 1 to 46 matches the Rfam family "Eukaryotic small subunit ribosomal RNA", at positions 1786 to 1831 of the family's 1831-position model. Lineage: Eukaryota; Fungi. The record is from RNAcentral.